This is a long non-coding RNA of Oncorhynchus tshawytscha (Chinook salmon), 451 nucleotides long. The record is from Ensembl. NCBI's taxonomy places the organism in Eukaryota, Metazoa, Chordata, Actinopteri, Salmoniformes, Salmonidae.
CAGAAACCACCCUAGACCACAGAAACCACCCUAGACCACAGAAACCAACCUAGACCACAGAAACCACCCUAGACCACAGAAACCACCCUAGACCACAGAAACCACCCUAGAUAGAGGAUCUCAGACCACAGAAACCACCCUAGAUAGAGGAUCUCAGACCACAUGAGAUUCUGUGAAAGGGACUGAAGAGGAUUUCAAAGCUUCCUUGUGACAGCAGGGUGACAGCAGGGUGACAGCAAGGUGACAGCAGGGUGACAACAAGGUGACAGCAGGGUGACAGCAGGGUGACAGCAGGGUGACAGCAGGGUGACAGCAAGGUGACAGCAAGGUGACAGCAGGUGACAGCAGGGUGACAGCAGGGUGACAGCAAGGUGACAGCAGGGUGACAGCAGGGUGAAAGCAGGGUGACAGCAGGGUGACAACAAGGUGACAACAGGGUCUUGUUCAGUUC